RNAcentral lists this ribosomal RNA (468 nucleotides) under uncultured bacterium. RNAcentral's name for it is "partial 16S ribosomal RNA". It matches the Rfam family "Bacterial small subunit ribosomal RNA", at positions 28 to 507 of the family's 1533-position model. The record is from RNAcentral.
GACGAACGCUGGCGGCGUGCUUAACACAUGCAAGUCGAACGAAAAGGCCCUGCUUUUGUGGGUUUCUCGAUUGCCGCACGCGUGUGUAACACGUGAGUAACCUCCCCUUGUCUGUCGGAUAACUUCAGGAAACUGCGGCUAAUACCCGAUAGGAUCUCCUGCUCCGUAUUGUUGGAUGGAAAGUUUCGGCUGUUGUGGCUGGUCUCGCUGCAUACCCGCCUGUUGGUGUGGUUGUGGCUGACCAAGGCUUUGACGGGUAGCCUGCAUGGGAGGGUUACCGGCCACAUUGGGACUGAGAUACGGACCAGACUCCUACGGGAGGCAGCAGGGGGGAACAUUGCAGAAUGGGCGGACGCCUGAUGCAGCAACGCCGCGUGCGGAAUGACGGCCUUCGGGUUGAAAACCGCUUUCGCCUGUGACGAAGCGGGAGUGACGGUAAUGGGUAAAGAAGCACCGGCUAACUACGUG